AUCUACCCUUUGGCCUGGAAUAACACGAGGAAACUUGUGCUAAUACCGGAUAAGUCUUUACGGAGAAAGCUUUAUGCACCAUUGGAUGAGCCUGCACUUGAUUAGUUUGUUGGUAGGGUAAUGGCCUACCAAGACUGUGAUCAAUAGCUGAUUUGAGAGGAUGAUCAGCCACAUUGGGACUGAGACACGGCCCAAACUCCUACGGGAGGCAGCAGUGGGGAAUCUUGCACAAUGGAGGAAACUCUGAUGCAGCGAUGCCGCGUGAGUGAAGAAGGCCCUUGGGUUGUAAAGCUCUUUCGUCGGGGAAGAAAAUGAGUGUACCCGAAUAAGAAGGUCCGGCUAACUUCGUGCCAGCAGCCGCGGUAAUACGAAGGGACCUAGCGUAGUUCGGAAUUACUGGGCUUAAAGAGUUCGUAGGUGGUUGAAAAAGUUGGUGGUGAAAUCCCAGAGCUUAACUCUGGAACUGCCAUCAAAACUUUUCAGCUAGAGUAUGAUAGAGGAAAGCAGAAUUUCUAGUGUAGAGGUGAAAUUCGUAGAUAUUAGAAAGAAUACCAAUUGCGAAGGCAGCUUUCUGGAUCAUUACUGACACUGAGGAACGAAAGCAUGGGCAGCGAAGAGGAUUAGAUACCCUCGUAGUCCAUGCCGUACACGAUGUGUGUUAGACGUUGGAAAUUUAUUUUCAGUGUCGCAGUGAAAACGAUAAACACACC
Molecule: ribosomal RNA, 710 nt
Filed under: uncultured Pelagibacterium sp.
Lineage: Bacteria; Pseudomonadati; Pseudomonadota; Alphaproteobacteria; Hyphomicrobiales; Devosiaceae
Description: bacterial SSU rRNA
Rfam family: Bacterial small subunit ribosomal RNA
Source: RNAcentral